GACGAACGCUGGCGGCGUGCUUAACACAUGCAAGUCGAACGAUGAAGCUGGAGCAUGCUCCGGUGGAUUAGUGGCGAACGGGUGAGUAACACGUGAGCAAUCUGACCUUGACUCUGGGAUAACUGCGGGAAACUGUAGCUAAUACCGGAUACGAGACCUGAAGGCAUCUUCGGGUCUGGAAAGAUUUCCGGUGAAGGAUGAGCUCGCGGCCUAUCAGCUUGGUGGUGCGGUAAUGGCUCAGCAAGGCGACGCCGGGUAGCCGGCCUGAGAGGUUGACCGGCCACACUCGGACUGAGACACAGCCCAGACUCCUACGGGAGGCAGCAGUGGGGAAUAUUGCACAAUGGGCUAAAGCCUGAUGCAGCGACGCCGCGUGAGGGAUGAAGGCCUUCGGGUUGUAAACCUCUUUUAGCAGGGAAGAAGCGAAAGUAACGGUACCUGCAGAAAAAGCACCGGCUAACUACGUGCCAGCCGCCGCCGUAA
Molecule: ribosomal RNA, 483 nt
Filed under: uncultured bacterium
Lineage: Bacteria
Description: partial 16S ribosomal RNA
Rfam family: Bacterial small subunit ribosomal RNA
Source: RNAcentral